UCGCGCUGCCGCCCCACACCGCAACAGGCUCGUUCGUUCAUUGUGUCGAGAUGAUCGGUGACGCGAGGCACGUGCCGAAGGCGAAGGGGGCGUU
Molecule: non-coding RNA, 94 nt
Filed under: uncultured Pelagophyceae
Lineage: Eukaryota; Pelagophyceae
Source: RNAcentral